GGGUGAGUAACACGUGGAUAACCUACCUAUAAGACUGGGAUAACUUCGGGAAACCGGAGCUAAUACCGGAUAAUAUAUUGAACCGCAUGGUUCAAUAGUGAAAGACGGUUUUGCUGUCACCUAUAGAUGGAUCCGCGCCGCAUUAGCUAGUUGGUAAGGUAACGGCUUACCAAGGCAACGAUGCGUAGCCGACCUGAGAGGGUGAUCGGCCACACUGGAACUGAGACACGGUCCAG
RNAcentral lists this ribosomal RNA (236 nucleotides) under uncultured Staphylococcus sp. RNAcentral describes it as "partial 16S ribosomal RNA". It matches the Rfam family "Bacterial small subunit ribosomal RNA", at positions 104 to 334 of the family's 1533-position model. Lineage: Bacteria; Bacillati; Bacillota; Bacilli; Caryophanales; Staphylococcaceae. The record is from RNAcentral.